RNAcentral lists this transfer RNA (64 nucleotides) under Hydrogenophaga sp. 70-12. RNAcentral's name for it is "tRNA-Asp". It matches the Rfam family "tRNA", at positions 6 to 65 of the family's 71-position model. Rfam says of the family: Transfer RNA (tRNA) molecules are approximately 80 nucleotides in length. Their secondary structure includes four short double-helical elements and three loops (D, anti-codon, and T loops). Further hydrogen bonds mediate the characteristic L-shaped molecular structure. tRNAs have two regions of fundamental functional importance: the anti-codon, which is responsible for specific mRNA codon recognition, and the 3' end, to which the tRNAs corresponding amino acid is attached (by aminoacyl-tRNA synthetases). tRNAs cope with the degeneracy of the genetic code in two manners: having more than one tRNA (with a specific anti-codon) for a particular amino acid; and 'wobble' base-pairing, i.e. permitting non-standard base-pairing at the 3rd anti-codon position. Lineage: Bacteria; Pseudomonadati; Pseudomonadota; Betaproteobacteria; Burkholderiales; Comamonadaceae. The record is from RNAcentral.
GGUAGUUCAGUUGGUUAGAAUACCGGCCUGUCACGCCGGGGGUCGCGGGUUCGAGCCCCGUCCA